ACGUAGGGGGCAAGCGUUGCUCGGAAUUACUGGGCGUAAAGGGUGUGUAGGUGGAUGAUUAAGUUAAGGAUGAAAUCCCGAGGCUCAACUUCGGAACUGCCCUUGAUACUGGUCAGCUUGAGGCUAGUAAAGGAGAGCGGAAUUCCCGGUGGAGCGGUGAAAUGCGUAGAUAUCGAGAGGAACACCAAUGGCGUAGGCAGUUCUCUGGGCUAGUCCUGACGCUGAGGCACGAAAGCUAGGGGAGCGAACAG
RNAcentral lists this ribosomal RNA (251 nucleotides) under uncultured prokaryote. RNAcentral's name for it is "partial 16S rRNA". It matches the Rfam family "Bacterial small subunit ribosomal RNA", at positions 525 to 775 of the family's 1533-position model. The record is from RNAcentral.